This 895-nucleotide long non-coding RNA is filed under the name Amborella trichopoda. RNAcentral's name for it is "long non-coding RNA (ATRI_LNC001290)". Lineage: Eukaryota; Viridiplantae; Streptophyta; Magnoliopsida; Amborellales; Amborellaceae. The record is from RNAcentral.
UCUCGUAAGGCCUUUAAUGACCACAUAAACCCAACAUCUCCCGCUUGGCCUUUGAAGACCUUAGAAUAUCGCUUUCUCACUUUCUCAUCCCCUUAAUUAUAAUCUAUCUCUCAAGCAUGUUUCACUUAUUCUCUCUUAUUAUAUUAAUCAUGAUUUUUUCCAUCAAUCCUUUCACAAAGCAUUUAUGGAGGCAGCGCUUAUAUCUCUUUGCUGCUAGAAUCUCAUCUCAAACGUGGUCAUAGUCCAUCUUUCAUGUCUCAUUGCGAAUCACAUACUUGUUGUCGCAGAAGAUCAUCACAUACCCUCAUCGCAUGGGGUCGUAUCUUCAGGAGCUUAAAGCAAUUCUUCAAUCAAGCUGCUCUCUUCUGCAGCUAUACAACUAGCGUCAUGCAUCCUGGUUCCAUAGGUGAACAAUAAUAUAUUAUUCCAACUGAACCAUCAAACACAAGCAGGCUCUCUCAUUGGAAUAUUGAGUUCAUCUGGAUCUUUCAUAGUAGGAUACUUGUAUAUUUGAAUAUCCAAGUAGCUAAAGAUAAUCAUACGAUUGUUAACAUCUCCCACUUCAAACAUAACACAUAAGAAAUGUUAUCUCAACAUUCUCAUGCUUAUGUCAUGAGUUAGUAUCGCAAGUCUCAUACCAAAUAGUAACUCAAUGCUCGUUUGGUUUCACAGUACGAAAAACCCUCUUGAAUAACAAAGGUUCAGCCACACUAGUCUUCUUGGUAGUAUACCCCUACAAACCAAGUUAUCUAAUCCACACAGCACAUAUCAAGUAGACCUAACAAGAUGACCAUCCUAUGAUAUACCCUACGGUUUAUAGUCUUAGGUAAUCGAGAAUUCUAAAAAACUCAAAACCAGGUCACAUAAUCGGUACUAUAAAAACAUGAGUUAAGAC